This 63-nucleotide non-coding RNA is filed under the name Manganibacter manganicus. RNAcentral's name for it is "Pseudaminobacter manganicus Fluoride sequence". It matches the Rfam family "Fluoride riboswitch aptamer (crcB RNA motif)". The record is from Rfam by way of RNAcentral. Lineage: Bacteria; Pseudomonadati; Pseudomonadota; Alphaproteobacteria; Hyphomicrobiales; Phyllobacteriaceae.
GACAAUAAUGGGGAUGGGGUUCCCCCGAUAACCGCCGCGAAGGCUGAUGACUCCUACCGGGCG